Molecule: long non-coding RNA, 7764 nt
Filed under: Brassica napus (rape)
Lineage: Eukaryota; Viridiplantae; Streptophyta; Magnoliopsida; Brassicales; Brassicaceae
Description: long non-coding RNA (BNAP_LNC007361)
Source: RNAcentral
GUACCAGUUGGUUGAAAUUGUUGACAAUUUCAUGAACACCAUCGCCAACAAGAACUUCCCGCCUCAAGCCCGACCCCUUUAUUACAACCAGUCAGGCCCCCUAAUGCCUUUGCUCUGUAACCCCUUCAAUGCUGAUCUCUCUGACCACCUGUGCAAGCCCGGUGAGGUCCAUCUCAGCAAUGCAACUGAGGUAAAUUAAAUACUAAUUUAAAACAGAACAUAUCUUUGUAUAUUUUGUUUUGUUUCAUAAUGUUUCUUAUGGUAUGUUUUUUUUAUGCAGGUGUGGAAGAACUACACUUGCGAAUAUAUAACACCGGGAAUAUGUAGCACGCCCGGACGUCUGACCCCAAACCAUUACACCCAGAUGGCUGCAGCAGUUAACGUAAGCUAUGGUCUGUACAAGUAUGGUCCAUUCCUGGCAGAUCUGCGAGGGUGUAACUUCGUAAGGUCCACAUUCACUGAUAUAGAGAGGGAUCAUUGCCCGGGACUGAGGAGAUACACGCAGUGGAUCUACGUGGGUCUUGUGCUGGUGUCUACUGCUGUAAUGCUGUCUUUGGUGUUUUGGGUUGUAUACGCGCGGGAGAGGAGGCACCGUGUUUACACCAAAGACUACAAUGCUAUGCAUUCUGAAGCUCCACGGGACAAGGGUCCGCAGUGAGAUGUUCUGUACUUUUUGCCAGUUUUAUGUAAAUUAUGUGUUUGAGAUGUCUGGUGAGAUCUUUUGUGUAGUGAAUAAUGGAAGGAAACUGUGGUUGUGUGGUUGUUGUCACUAAUGUUCUUUAUAAUUGAUAUGUUGAGAACUACUUCGAAAUUGGAGAUGUACUGUUUUGUGGAAGUACAACCCAUCUUUGUGUUUCUUGUCGGAGAGGACAAAUCUUCAAUUCUUUAUUACUAGUAUUGCUUACCAAAAGCAUUUCUUUAUGAGCUGAUACUAGUUUCGAUAGCUGUAAUGUCUUUGAUCACUUGAAGAUGGGGGACUGAACCUAGAGGCUACUAGUACUCAUAGCACUUUGAAUGGUCGAUAAUUUCUUCACCUAAAGUUAAUGAAGAGCCUUAUGUUGUGCGUUACAACUACUUACGAGUGUAACCUCGUUUGUUGGUGUUGAAUGGGUUCACGUAAGAGAAAAGAGUAAUAUUCCUAGUGAUUGAAGGAGGCUGUUCAAAAAAAAAAAACAAAGAGAUAAAAAGUGCUCAAAUAGACUUGUUUUACAAAAUAUAACAUGACUGACUUGAAAACUCUAAACCUAACAGGUGUAUGAAAACCAAAACCAACUCCUAAUGGAUCUAAACUUACUCUUAAUGGGUUUAGUGAGAAAUUCUAAAACUUUAAAUCUUGUUUAAUCGGAGUUUAAACCAAGUGGCCCGCCCUCUAUCCUUCACAUGGGUCAGCUCAUCUUUUUCUUGGACAAACUUGAUUAAAAGUCCAAAGACUUCUUUCAAGGCUGUAGUCUUUGAUCUUGUCAUCUGUCCAAUAUAACAGACAAGUGGAUCAUGUGCUUGGUUGUCCAUCCCAUCUUGUGCCGCAGAAGUCUUAUCUUGGCUAACCACUUCUUGGGUUCGAUCCAGCUGAUAGUUAUCUAGACCGUUUUGCUGCUUAGUUCACUUUGUCGAGCAAAAUGCUCUUAUUGAUAAAUUUCCAUGUCCAGGUCUUCAUCUCCAUUUUUUGGGUCUAUGUCCGACCAUAUCGCAUCACCCGACCAUAGGUCAUAUUCCAUUUCGCGAUCGUCUGUCCUGUUCAUCUCUCGACCGUCCGUCCUUCUCAUGUCCAUUUCGUGACCACAUUUCCUUGUUCGAUCCAUUUCGUGCUGGUCCAGUCCUCAGCUGUCGGUUCAUCCAAGUAAAGCUCAUGUCGCCCAUCUCAGUCAACAUAUACCUUUGGUUCCAAUGAUGACCGCAUCAGAAAGUGCAACGUUAGCUUGAUAUAUUUGUUCAUGAUAUCCACGGAGUCUCCAAGUGAUUUCUUUUCAACAAUUGUAUUCUUAACGUAUUUUAACUCAAACCAACAAAUCCAAAAUUUAUUAGAAUUUAUAUAUCAAAUGAAAUGAUAUAAUUAAAAUGAAUUGAUAUAAAUAAAAUGAUUUUUAUAAAAAUGUUAUCCUAACUUUAUUAAAAUUUAAAUUAAAUUAAACAGAAAUAAUUAAACUAAUAUAAAAAACAAGACUACAAAAAUAUAUUUAUAGUUUUUUUUUCAAACCAAUGAAGUUAAAGCAUAGAAAUACUAGUGUCAAAAUCUAAAUUAAAAUUUUAAAAAUAAAUAAUAUAUUAUAUUUAUAGUUGUUAUUUGUGGACAUGGCUCAUAAAAACUCUUAUAAAGGCUGGCUUAAUCUACAGACUACAGAUGAAAAAAAACUCCUUUAAAUACAAAAACCCUACAGGGACGAAAAUUUAGGGUACUUGACCGGAUCUAAGCUAUUCAGGUUUUCCACACUCCCUUUUUUAUCUCUCUUUAUCUGUCUCCUCCUCCCCUGUAGACUUUGGCUUUCUGUCUCCUCAUCUCUUACUGUGAGUCCUUUUCGAGUAGAUAUGGAAGUGGCUGCCCUCAGGUCGAUGGAGACGCAGAGACAAUGGACUUGUUCUGCCACUGAGACGCUUCUCUUCCUCGUUGGAAGGAAUCUGGCUUGUCUGCUUCUCGCGGUAUACAACUGUUUCCUUAAUUUUAAUUUAUAACUCUUGUUUCACUUUGUGUUCUGUUGGAUUUGUCAUUUAUUCAAAAACCGUCCAUCCUGGAGUUGUCUCUGUGUUCCUGAAUCCAAGGCUUAUUAGAUUUUCUUAGAUUUUCUGCUUUAGGGAUACGAUUUGGGAUGGAUUUUGUUGUUUGAAUUUAGACAAGCACUUUAGCUUCUGUUAUGUCUUAAUUGGUUCGAGACGGGUCUUUGUACAAUUGAAGUUGAAUGCAGAGUUUAACAAUGUCAAAUGUACACUCUGUUAACUUGUCACGUUUACUUUUUGUCUAUUUGCAAUUGCUAUUUAUAUUGAUAUUUAUAUAAGGAUGUGCUCUUCUUGGAUUUUGUAUGAUAUAGUAAACACACAAAGACGAGUCUGCCUUUGAAAAUGUUUAAACCCUUACAGAUUGACUUUAGGUUUAUUUUGUGUACCUUUUAAGCUUCCUUUUGUGAUUUCAAUGUUUGUUUGUUAUGUGCUAUAUUGACAUUUGCCAUUUUUCAUGAUCCUUUUUAACUUGUGUUCUCGCUGAACUUUGCAUUAAUACACUAUGGAUAGUUCAGUAUUGUAUAAAAUUUCAUAAAACCUUGUCUAACAUUCAUCUUUUUGUUCUGUGAUAUCGCAGGCAGAAUCUUUGCUGAUAGGGUUGAUUGCUGAAGAUCAGAGGUGAGCAUAAGGGCCACACUUUUCAUUUUUCCCCUUCUUUUAGAUUGUAGCAGAUUUGAAUUUGACUUGUCUCUAGGCUUUCUGUGAAGGAGGGCUACAAAAAAGGACACCGAGAUGAGGAAAAUAAAGAUGCCAGUGACUCUGAUGAUGAUGACGAUGAUGAUGAGGACAACGCUGAUGAAGACGAUGAUGAUGAUGAUGAUGAUGCUAAUGAUGAAGAUUUUUCAGGGGGUGAAGGAGAGGAAGCUGAUCCGGAGGAUGACCCGGUGACCAAUGGUGGGGGAGGAAGCGAUGAUAAUGAUGAUGAUGACGAUGACGGGGAUGAGAGUGGUGAUGAUGAUGGAGAUGAGGAUGAGGAGGACGAAGAUGAGGAUGAUGAGGAAGAUGACGAAGAUGUUCGCCAGCCGCCUGCUAAGAAGAGAAAAUGAAACAUGAGAAAGAGGGGAUUGUUCAAGACUUGAAGAGGACCAUAUGUGUUGGUUUAAGUAGUGUAGGGGAAACUUAUGCUUCAUGUUGUGUACUAUUUGUUGUCGUGUGUGACUUGUCUACUUGGAUUUUAGUUAUCUUGGCUGUUGUAGAAUGUUGUUCUCUUCUUUUUGUUUUUGCAUCUGCCUAUGAAUAUGAUUCGCCGUGCUUCACAUUUUCUUUGUUGUUGCAAUUUUUCUUUCCAUUGUUUCAAAUGUUUAAAAGGAAACUCCACCAACACUAUACUAUGUUUCAUGUAUCCCAUCACGUUCUCACAUUACUUGGACCAUAGGAACUCUCUUCAUUCUAAUCAGUUCGUUUGGAUUGCUUGUCACUUGUAUGGGUUUUCUUGAGUUGACAAACCAGACAACAAGUAUUCACGUGGUUGUGGUUGCGAGACAACUAACUUUGGGUUCUUCAACAAUAUCCUAGUCUAGGAUUUAGUUCUACCAUACCGCCGGACCAUUUAGAUCAUGUCGGUUUAGGAUCGAUCUUGCCUUUUUCGAUGAGCCGGAUCGAUUUCGGUUUAGUUGAACAAAGUGUGUUCGGACUCUGAUACCAUGUUAGGAGAAGAUGGUUUUCAGAUAUCUCAAUUGAGUUUACACGAUACAAUAUAUACAGAGAGGUAGGAGACACUAGGUUAACAUAAUUACAAAUGUUCCAUAUUUGGAAGAGAAGAAUAUUGCAGCCUUUUGAAGAAGCUAACCCAGCAUUGGUGUCACACUUGUGAGUUUAACAAUCAGGAAAAGUCUCAUUGAAGUCUAUUUCCCCCUUGUUAGGUGAACCCAUUUGCUACUAGGCCAAAUUAUACAUUUGUACCAUCAUAAUUGGACUUAAUAGUUAAAUCCAUUUAGACCCAAUAACAUUUUUUUCAUAACCUUUUCUUGUUCAGCACACUAAAAAUAAAUGUAAAUGUGAUAGAUAUUACAAAUGAUUGAUUAAAGAAUGACAAUGCAUAUACAAAUGUUACAAAAGCUGAUCAAAGAAUGACAGUGCACUAGACAAUAUACAAGCAUAACGAUUCAUGAAAUAAGAGGAAUAUGAAGGCUAAAGUAGAAGUAGUCAGUAGGAAUAAUCAUUAUAAAGUUGAAUACGUUUUUGCUGCUGUUGAGAUAGAUGAUGUAUAUCCUUAACAAUGUCGAACACUGCCUCAGGCUGCGCCAACUUAAGAGCAUUCUCUGACAUUUUAUAUAAUUCGUUUUUCUUGCUGCUGAACCAAUAAUGACCUUCAAUUAAUGACGAGACAACAAAAGUUUCUGCAGAAAAAGUCUACAGUAACAACUUUAUAGUUACAACCGAUUUAUUUACAGCUAAACAUCUACAGUUAAAUUUUUAAAGCUACGGUCGAACCGAUCAUCACCAAUAAUUUAUAAAUUGAUUAACUAGUAAACAGCUUUAUAAAAUAUUGAAAAUGCUUUAUUAACCGAGACAAAGCAAACGUGAGACAACCAUGAAUAUAAUUAAUAGAAAAAAACUAAAAUAAUUAAAAAUUAAAAGUUACCGUAGAAUAACUAACCUAAAUCUAAAAAUACUAGUUCAACUUUUAAUACAUAAAAUUUUGUUUGAUGUUGAAUUAAUACUUUAGUUUAGCAAUUUUUAAAAAUGGAUAGCUUAAAAUUAACUUAUAUAUAAUACAUUGUAAUUCAAACAUAAGUUAAAAAUAAUUAUUUUGAAUUAUAUCUCUAAAGCAAACUUAAACAAUAAUAAUUCAUAUCACCAGUCAAAGCCUAUAUUAAAAAAAUAGAAAUAAUCAUAAAAAGAAAGAGGCAGCGCAUCAUUCCAACAGAAUUAAAAACUACAUUGGAAAUAAAUAAAAAGAAAGAAAUCAGGGAAAUGUGAUUCGAGGAAGAGAAGAAAACCGCGUCAAGCGGGAUAUCAAAUCAAUCGUGUUGUUAACACGUCUGCCAUUGAUUCUCUAUCACGAUUCGAUUAAAACAUAAAAACACUGAAACGAGAGAAUAUACAAAAAAAAUAAAAACAAUCUCGAAAAACACAAAGACAGAAUGUUGUGUUCCAGAUCUAAAACAGUGUUCGUACUUUUCUCAUUCCUUCUUGUCGCCACUGGAAUAUCUAUUGCUGGUAAGAAAGAAAGAAAGAAAGAAAGAAAAAAUAAUUCAACAUUCUUGUAUUUUGAUUUUGUCUCUGUUGAUAUGUUUUUACUUCUAAUUUUGGGUUUGGAUGGUUUCAGAAAAGGAAGCAGCAAGUGUUGAAGAAGAAUGGGGGACAAGUGUGAAAGAAAGGUUUAUGGCAGAGGAAAAAGGAGAGAACUCGUCUCUGAUUUUGGCUGCAAACAGAACAAAGAGGAAAGACCCUACUGAGAAUUUCAACAUUUACACUGGUGGAUGGAACAUAAGCAAUACCCAUUAUUGGACUGUGAGUCCUUUCUUUUAUUUUCUGUGGUCCUAAGUUUUCUCUGUUGCUAGUGGAGUUUGUUUGCUUAAUCAAACGGGAUUAGCAUUCAUUAGUUCUCUCUCUUUUUGAAGCUUUUUUGACUUUUUUUUUUCUCAUUCUUUGCUUUGUGUGUGCAUGCAGUCUGUUGCUUAUACAGCGACGCCUUUCUUUGUGAUAGCAGGAGUCUGGUUUGUGGUCUUCGGGCUAUCCUUGUCUCUCAUUUGCCUUUGCUAUUGCUGCUGUGCCCGUCAGCCUUACGGCUAUUCCAGGGUUGCUUAUGCUCUCUCCCUUAUCCUCCUCAUAUUAUUCACAAUCGCUGCAAUGUAAAUUGUCUUUUCUCUGGCUCUUUUUUUUGUCAUUCUUUUUUUUAAUUAAAAUAAGCUUUUUGUGUUUGAUAUUUUCCAGUGUGGGAUGUGUUUUCCUUUACACGGGCCAAGGGAAAUUUCAUGCUAGCACAACAGAUACUUUGGACUAUGUGGUGAGGCAGGCAAAUUUCACGGCGGAAAACCUCAGGAAUGUGUCGGAUUAUCUCAAUGCAGCUAAGAAGGUGGAUGUGCAAUCCAUCGUUCUUCCAGGGGAUGUUUUAUCGAGCAUCGACAACAUACAAGGAAAGAUCAACUCCUCUGCAACUACUCUUUCUGUUCAAACAAUGGAGAACCAAGACAGGAUUCAAGAUGUCUUGGACAACAUGUAAAAAAAUACACAAUACCAUAGUGUUAUCCUUUUUAUUUUCUUCACCUUUUUUUGCUUAUGAUUUGUUGCAGGAGACUUGCGCUCAUCAUCAUCGCUGCUGUGAUGCUUUUUCUAGCGUUCAUUGGAUUCUGUAAGUCUAGGGAUUAUUAUUAUUGAUUACAUCUCGCAGCAGCACUUUAACUUGUUGAUUAUUUUUAUUGUUGUUACAGUACUCUCUAUCUUUGGACUGCAGUGCCUUGUAUACACGUAAGUGAAGUCUCAUUCUCAUUUUCCACGUGUUACCGUUUUAUGCUGAUAAAAAAUUACUUUGUGAUUUAACAAUGGACAGGUUAGUGAUCCUUGGUUGGAUUCUUGUCACCGGCACUUUCGUCUUAUGUGGUCUAUUUCUCCUUCUACACAAGUGAGUUUUUUGUUCAAUUUGUCUUACUCAAUGCAUUAAAAAAGGUUUCUCAAUAAAAGCAUUUCUUAUGCCUUUGUCAGCGUUGUUGGGGAUACGUGUGUGGCCAUGGACCAAUGGGUGCAACACCCGAAAGCUCACACCGCUCUAGACGAUAUUCUACCGUGCGUUGAUAACGCAACCGCGACCGAAACAUUGAGUCAGACAAAGCUUGUGACGUACCAGUUGGUUGAAAUUGUUGACAAUUUCAUGAACACCAUCGCCAACAAGAACUUCCCGCCUCAAGCCCGACCCCUUUAUUACAACCAGUCAGGCCCCCUAAUGCCUUUGCUCUGUAACCCCUUCAAUGCUGAUCUCUCUGACCACCUGUGCAAGCCCGGUGAGGUCCAUCUCAGCAAUGCAACUGAGGUAAAUUAAAUACUAAUUUAAAACAGAACAUAUCUUUGUAUAUUUUGUUUUGUUUCAUAAUGUUUCUUAUGGUAUGUUUUUUU